This 399-nucleotide small RNA is filed under the name Pongo abelii (Sumatran orangutan). Its description in RNAcentral is "processed transcript". The record is from RNAcentral. Lineage: Eukaryota; Metazoa; Chordata; Mammalia; Primates; Hominidae.
GCACAUGGAGAGAGCGUCUAACAUGGCGGCGGCUGCGGGGAGAGGGAAGCGCUUUACUGGAGCUGCAUUGGUAAGCUUGAUGAUUACCAGGAACGAAUGAACAAAGGGGAAAGGCUUAAUCAAGAUCAGCUGGAUGCCGUUUCUAAGUACCAGGAAGUCACAAAUAAUUUGGAGUUUGCAAAAGAAUUACAGAGGAGUUUCAUGGCACUAAGUCAAGAUAUUCAGAAAACAAUAAAGAAGACAGCACGUCGGGAGCAGCUUAUGAGAGAAGAAGCCGAACAGAAACGUUUAAAAACUGUACUUGAGCUACAGUAUGUUUUGGACAAAUUGGGAGAUGAUGAAGUGCGGACUGACCUGAAACAAGGUUUGAAUGGAGUGCCAAUAUUGUCCGAAGAGGAG